UAGGAGAGCGUUCUAAGGGCGUUGAAGCAUGAUCGCAAGGACAUGUGGAGCGCUUAGAAGUGAGAAUGCCGGUGUGAGUAGCGAAAGACGGGUGAGAAUCCCGUCCACCGAUUGACUAAGGUUUCCAGAGGAAGGCUCGUCCGCUCUGGGUUAGUCGGGUCCUAAGCUGAGGCCGACAGGCGUAGGCGAUGGAUAACAGGUUGAUAUUCCUGUACCACCUAGCAUCGUUUUAAUCGAUGGGGGGACGCAGUAGGAUAGGCGAAGCGUACGAUUGGAUUGUACGUC
RNAcentral lists this ribosomal RNA (285 nucleotides) under Staphylococcus haemolyticus. Its description in RNAcentral is "partial 23S ribosomal RNA". It matches the Rfam family "Bacterial large subunit ribosomal RNA", at positions 1229 to 1512 of the family's 2925-position model. The record is from RNAcentral. Lineage: Bacteria; Bacillati; Bacillota; Bacilli; Caryophanales; Staphylococcaceae.